Molecule: ribosomal RNA, 296 nt
Filed under: uncultured bacterium
Lineage: Bacteria
Description: partial 16S ribosomal RNA
Rfam family: Bacterial small subunit ribosomal RNA
Source: RNAcentral
AUAAACGCUGGCGGCGUGCCUAACACAUGCAAGUCGAACGCCCUUUUGCGCAAGUGAGAGGGAGUGGCGGACGGGUGAGUAACACGUGGGUACCUACCUUGAGGUGAGGAAUACCACCGAGAAAUCGGUGACAAGACCGCAUACGCUUGGCAACAAGCAAAGUCUCGCAAGAGACGCCACAAGAUGGGCCUGCGCCUGAUUAGCUAGUUGGUGAGGUAACAGCNCACCAAGCGACGAUCAGUAGCUGGUCUGAGAGGAUGAUCAGCCACACUGGGAUUGAGAACGGCCCAGACUCC